GAUGAACGCUGGCGGCGUGCCUAAUACAUGCAAGUCGAGCGAACAGAUAAGGAGCUUGCUCCUUUGACGUUAGCGGCGGACGGGUGAGUAACACGUGGAUAACCUACCUAUAAGACUGGGAUAACUUCGGGAAACCGGAGCUAAUACCGGAUAACAUAUUGAACCGCAUGGUUCAAUAGUGAAAGGCAGCUUUGCUGUCACUUAUAGAUGGAUCCGCGCCGUAUUAGCUAGUUGGUAAGGUAACGGCUUACCAAGGCAACGAUACGUAGCCGACCUGAGAGGGUGAUCGGCCACACUGGAACGGAGACACGGUCCAGACUCCUACGGGAGGCAGCAGUAGGGAAUCUUCCGGAAUGGGCGAAAGCCUGACGGAGCAACGCCGCGUGAGUUAUGAAGGUCUUCGGAUCGUAAAACUCUGUUAUCAGGGAAGAACAAAUGUGUAAGUAACUGUGCACAUCUUGACGGUACCUGAUCAGAAAGCCACGGCUAACUACGUG
This 497-nucleotide ribosomal RNA is filed under the name uncultured bacterium. Its description in RNAcentral is "partial 16S ribosomal RNA". It matches the Rfam family "Bacterial small subunit ribosomal RNA", at positions 28 to 507 of the family's 1533-position model. The record is from RNAcentral.